This is a long non-coding RNA of Musa acuminata AAA Group (dessert banana), 4741 nucleotides long. RefSeq lists it as uncharacterized. The record is from RefSeq and is a predicted model, not a curated record. The transcript is spliced from 2 exons. NCBI's taxonomy places the organism in Eukaryota, Viridiplantae, Streptophyta, Magnoliopsida, Zingiberales, Musaceae.
AUUAACGCAGGAGGAAUUGACGUUGCGUCGGAGGAGAUCACGUCAGGAUAUUGGAUGGCAGAAGGCUUCGGGCGUCGGGCAUCGGGCCAAGGAGAGCGAAAUUGCGCCAAGGAUAUCGGGGUUGCGGAGGUCAACCGCCGAUUGGGCAACAAGCUGCAAGAGAGGACGAUGCACCGAAGAAUCGGAUGAAGCGCCAACCAAUGACGUGCCGGGCAACAGAAUGUCAAUUUGCGUUAUAAUAAUUGUCUAGAUCGGAGUAGAGUGUUUGCUUGUGUGUGCAGGAUUAACAAGAAUCGGAUGAACCGAAAUUGAUAUACUGUGUCAAAGUGUUAGGAGAUCUCUCUUAUUUGGAGUUUCUGAAUGUUAAGCCUAAUUUAUUAUGAUAUGAACUUGUGGUGAAUAGUUGGAGUUCUGAUUGUAUAAAUUAUUUAGCUUGUGGAUUUAUAAAUAUUGUUCAUGUUUGUCAAGUUGGCUUGGGUUGCCAUAAACGUGAAUUUUUGAGUGAUGUGAUAUAUGAUUAUAACCUGCACAGGUUUUAUGGAUGUGAAUAUGAAUAGAAUGUUUUUUAGUGUCCUCAAACGUUAGUUUGGAUCCUGGAUUGGUCUGUGAUGAAAAAUUUUAAAAAUCAUGGAUAUUUUGAGGGGCGUGACAGAGGUGGUAUCAGAGCAUUGCUUGAGGAUUACUGAAAUAUUUGAUAUGUUGACGUGCAAAAUAUAUUGAGGUCUAAUGAACUAUAGUGAUUGGUGGAAAUUUUCUUUGAUGUAUUUUAGGAAUCUGGGAUGAUGAGGACAUUUGGUCCUCCUAUUUCAUUGUUUCUGAUUAAUUAAGGGGAAUGAAAUGAUUGUUUGGGGAUAUUGAAUCAGAGUGGCGCAGCGGAAUUAUGGUGGACCUAAUUUCAUUGGUGGUAGAAAAAUGGAUGAUGCAAAUGGAGAAGAUAUUUGAUAUACAAAAUUGUUCUAAUGAUCAAAAGAUUUCUUUUGCUACGUUAUAUUGGAAGUAAAGACUUAUUAUUGACGGCAACAAUGAAAAGAAUUUUUGAAGAUCAAUGGCAAGAAUGACAAGAACAAGUUUACCAAUAAAAAUAUGAUUGGAAAUGAAUCAGUAAGUAACAACAAGAGGAUCAAGACAUUUGGAUUUGAAAUUGGAGGUCAUCAUAAAAGACUCAAUCAUGUGUGAAUUAUAAGUUAAAUUAUGAAACAAAUUUGUGUUUUCGGAUGAUUGGAGUAUAUUUUGUUUGUAGAAAGUUGGAUCAUAAAAUAAAAGACGGCACUCAUUCCGGUCCACUCACUUCGUUCGCCCUUAUCUCCCUCCAUUCGUGGCCCUCCUAGGGCCACUCAUUCCGGUCGGUCCCUAAUAUAGUCCUAUCGGGUCGAAUUGUCGGUAACCCGUAGGGUUACCUCCAAUUCUCUGCUUACUUGAAAAGUAAGAAGAGAAUUAGUAAAGACAAAGAAUAAAAGAAAUAUUAAAGAAAAAAGAAAUAGAAAGCUUAUAAGAGAAGAAAGAAAAAAGAGGGAGGUUGGCUGCCGCCAACCGAACGAUGAAAGCCUUAACCCUUUGAACAAAAAGAAAGAGUCACUGCCUCAUAAAUAAUCUGCCCAUAUCAGAGUGUAUGCUAUCACUGAAUAUGAUUCUAAAACUUCUGAAUUAGUGAUCGAAGGUAUUAUGCAUGAUUAUGAAAGAAUGUAAAUAUUUGUUUGACCAUGGGUCCUAUCUACGAUUUGAUUCGUAAUAUUUUGCUUAUCACUUGGGUAUGAAACCUAGACCAUUGCAAUAUGAGCUAUAUGUAAAUACAAUCAUUGGAGAUUUUUUUGAUAACGAACUUGAAUCUGGUCCUCUUGUCUGAUUUUUAUUGGAGAACUUGAACUUUUGCUGAUUUAGUUCUCCUAAAGAUUUGGAGUUUUGAUAUCAUACUUGUUAUGGAUUGACUAUCUUCCUAUCAUACCAGUAUGGAUUGGUAUAUAACAAAGGAUCACUUUUUGCAUAUUUGAUCAGCCCAUCUUUUAUUUGAAAGUAUUGGAUAUGAUUUUAUCUCCUUGCCUAAUAUAUCCCAAGAUGACUUGCCUGGAUUACCUCCAAAUGUGAUUUUGCUUUUGAUUUGGUCCUUGGGACAAUCCCUAUAUCUAAGCCUCUCUGCAGAAUGAUAUCAUUUGAGUAAGUGGAAUUAGAAAAACAACUACAACGAUUAUUAAAUGAGGAUUUUAUUUGGCUUAAUAUUUUAUCAUGGGGUGCUCUGGUGUUAGUUAAAAAGAUGGAUGGAACAUGGAGGCUUUGUAUUGAUUAUGCAUAGUUGAAUCAGGUGAUCAUCAAAAACGAGUAUUUUUUGAAGUAACGAUUUGCUUGAUUAAUUACAGGGUGCGCAAGUAUUUUUGAAAGAUUGAUUGAAGGUCGGGUUUACCAUCUAUUGAGAAUCAAGAAGGAGAAUAUUUCGGUCACUCUUGGAAAAUUGUGUAAUUGUAUUGAAUUGAUGAAAUUAUUUAAGAGUAGGAGGAGGAAAUAAAGAAAUCAUAAUCCUCAUCUUUUCAUCGAUUGAGCUAUGACCAAUUUAGAGGACUAAAUUUUCUUUUAAGGGGGGGAGAGUGUAAUAUCCCCUACUUUUAAAAAUGUAUUAAUAAGGAUUUAUAUGUAAAUUGGGGGACCUAUAUGUAAAUAUAGAAAUUACAAGGACUAAACUGCUAAGUUGCAAAAAGAAAAAAAAAAAGAAAAGGAAAAACCGAAAAUUCGGUAUUAUCCCACCGCCUCCCACGCACUCUGUUUCUUUCCAGAAACAGAGAGAGCGGUGGGGCAUGAGGAGAAGAAGGAGAGUGGUUGAAGAAAAGAAGAAGAAGAGGGAAAAGAAGAGAGGAGGAAGAAGAGAGGAAGAAGAGAGGAAGAAGAGGGAGAAGAGAAGAAGAUGAAGAAGAAGAAGAAGAGGAGGUGGCUGCAGCGAGGGCUGCAGCGAGAAGCUGUGGGGCGUGGGGAGAAGAAGAGAGGAAGAAGAGGGAGAAGAGAAGAAGAAGAAGAAGAAGCAGAAGAAGAAGAAGAAGAAGAGAGGAUGAUAGCUGCGGCAAGGCUGCAGCGAGGAGGUGUGUGGGGUUGGGGAGGAAAAGGGAAGAGGAGAAGAAAAGAAGGAGAAGAAGAGGGAAAAGAGAGGGAAGAGGGAGAGGAGCGAGAGGUGGCAGCAGCUAGGGCUGCAGCACCUCUGUUUCCUGCAGGUGGAAACAGAGGAGAGGUGGGGCGUUCGAAGAGGAGAAGAAGAAGAAGAGGAAGAGAAGAGGAAGAGGAAGCAGGAGAAGAGGUUGUGAUACCUCUAUUUCCUGCAGAGGAAACAGAGGAGAGGGUGUGUGUGACGUCGGGGAGAAGAAGGGGAGGAAGGAGAAGAAGAGAAGAAGAAGAAAGGAAGGAGAGGAAGAAGAGAAGGGAAAGGAGGAGCUGCGGCUGCGGCGGUGGCAGCUGCAGCUGGAAGAGAAGGAGAGGAAGAGAUGGUGAGGAAGAAGAGAAGAAGUAGAAGCGGGUGAAGAGGCGGCACCUCUGUUUCCUGCAGGAGGAAACAGAGGAAAGGAGGUGCUGUUCGUCGGGGAGAAGAAGGGGGCUGCAGCUGCGGCGAUGGCAGCUGCAGCUGGAAGAGAAGAAGAAGAGGAAGAUGAGCAGGGGAGGAGGGAGAGGUUGCGACCGUGGCUGCGGCCGCGACUACAGCAGUUGCAGCGGGGAGAGAAGAAGAAGAAAGGAAGGAGAAGGAAGACGAGAAGGGAAAGAAGUAGCUGCGGCUGCGGUUGUGGCAGCUGCAGCUGUGGCAGGGAAAGAGGAAGAGAAAAAGGAAAGGAAGAAGAAGAGAAAGGGAAGGAGAGGAAGAGGAGAAGGGGCUGCGGCUGCGGCGAUGGCAGCUGCAGCUGUGGCUGGGAAAGAAGAGAAGGAAAGGAAGAAGAAGAGAAAGGGAAGGAGAGGAAGAAGAGAGGAAGAGGAGAAGGGGUGGCAGCUGCGGCAGUGGCAGCUGCAGCUGGAAGAGGAGGAGGAAAUAGAGCAGGGGAGGAAGAAGAGGCUGCGAGUGUGGUGGCUGCGGCCGUGGUUGCGACUCCGGCUGCGGCUGCGACGUUGGCUGCGGUAGCUGCGGCAGCGGUGGUGGCUGCAGUAGCUGCAGUAGCUGCUUUUGGGAAAGAGAAACAAUAGGAACGAGAGAAGGGAAGAAGGAAAUAGUGCCGUGGAUGGGGGCUGCGGUUGUGACCGCAGUUGCGAUUGUGGCAGCGGCAGCGGCGGCGGCUGUGGCAGCUGCGUUUGGGAAAGAAAAAGAAGGAAUGAGAGUAAGAGAGAGCAGGUGACUGUGCCUCGAUGUUCGACACGUGAUGUAGUUACGAAGAAAGGAAGAAAACGGGAGCACAAAACGAAACAGAGAGAGGACACGGAGGAAAAGUAGAAAGAUUGGACUGGCACCUUCCUUGGAUAUUCAGAUCAAAAUAUUUGAAAGGUCAGCUUGUUACUCUUCGAGAUGUUUGAUUUGGGCUGAGGCAGUGGAUAGCUAUUCAGAAUGAUGGGCAAGUCUGGUUGGUUAUUAUGAUAUUGUUGUAUAAGUAUGUUUUGUAUGUAAUGAAAUGUUGUCGAUGAACCGAAAUUGAUAUACUGUGUCAAAGUGUUAGGAGAUCUCUCUUAUUUGGAGUUUCUGAAUGUUAAGCCUAAUUUAUUAUGAUAUGAACUUGUGGUGAAUAGUUGGAGUUCUGAUUGUAUAAAUUAUUUAGCUUGUGGAUUUAUAAAUAUUGUUCAUGUUUGUCAA